UCAAUGUCAAUUUGGUCCUGGCCUUUCUAUUAACUCUUAGUAAGAUUACACAUGCAAGCAUCCCCACCCUAGUGGAAAUGCCCUCUAGAUCAAAAGGAGCAGAUAUUAAUCACGCACAAAUGCAGCUCAAAACAUUUUCCUCAACCACACCCCCAGGAGAAACAGCAGUGAUAAAUCUUUAGUAAUAAACAAAAGUUUAACUAUGCUCUACUGAUAUUGAGGGUUGGUCAAUUUUGUGCCAGCCACCGUGGCCAUGCUAUUAACCCAAGCUUAUAGAACUCUGCGUAAAGGGUGUUUAAGGUCUACCCUAAAUAAAGCUAAACUCUAAGUCAUAAAAAAAAAACUCCAGCUGAAAUAAAAUAUACUAUGAAAGUGACUUUAAUAUCCUGAAGACACAAUAGCUAAGACCCAAACUGGGAUUAGAUAACCCACUAUGCUUAGCUCUAAACUCUAACAGUUACAUUAACAAAACUAUUUGCCAGAAUACUACAAGAAACAGCUUACAACUCAAAGGACUUGGAGGUGCUUUAUAUCCCUCUAGAGGAGCCUGUUUUAUAAUCAACAAACCCUGAUAUACCUCACCAACUCUUGCCCCCAGCCUAUGUACCAUCAUCUUCAGCAAACCCUAAAAAGGUUAUAGAGUAAGCACAAGUAUUUACACAAAAAUAUUAUGUCAAGGUGGAGCUCAUGAGGUGGCAAGAAAUGGGCUACAUUUUCUGUGUCUAGAAAAUCUUACAACAACCUUUAGGAAAUUUAAAGGUCCAAGGAUGAUUGAGUAGUAAACCAAGAGCAGAGUGUUUGCUUGAAUAAGGCCAUGAAGCAUGGACACACUGCCCGUCAUCCUCCUCAAAUAUUGCUCUAGAAACUAUUAUCACUAAAAACUCUCUGUGCACACAUAGAGGAGAUAAGUCAUAACAUGGUAAGCAUACUGAAAGGUGCACUUGGACAAACCAAAGC
Molecule: non-coding RNA, 957 nt
Filed under: Gorilla gorilla gorilla (western lowland gorilla)
Lineage: Eukaryota; Metazoa; Chordata; Mammalia; Primates; Hominidae
Source: Rfam by way of RNAcentral